Molecule: ribosomal RNA, 1899 nt
Filed under: Triticum aestivum (bread wheat)
Lineage: Eukaryota; Viridiplantae; Streptophyta; Magnoliopsida; Poales; Poaceae
Description: partial small subunit ribosomal RNA
Source: RNAcentral
AUGAUUUUGCCGUUAGCUUGCUAUGCAGAUAGGUCGUACUAUGGCCCUCCGGAUUUCUUGUGCCAAUACUGUGGUGCCUCCUUUUGGUUUGCUGAGUGUUCAAAGUCCAGGUCAUCCUGGACACAACGUAAGAUGGUUUCGCUGUGUAAAGGCGCUAAGGUAUAUAUUCCUCCCUUUAAGGAUCCCCCAGCCUAUCUUCGGAAGCUCCUUCGAUUCGAUGGUACUUCUCGUGCUAAAAAAUUCAUCCGGACUAUACGUGAGUACAACUGUAUGUUCGCUUUCACUUCGAUGGGUGCUACUAUUGAACGCUCGUUUGGUAGCAGCCGUGGACCUAAGAUUUUUAAGAUCAGUGGUCAAGUGUCUCAUUGUAUUGGUUCGUUGGUGCCUAGCGGUGAUGAUACCCCUAAGUUUGCUGAGUUGUAUAUACAUGACCCAGCUAAUGAGAUUAGACAUGGGAUGAAUGCCUUAAAUCCAGAUGAUAAGCCUACUGGGGGUGUGGAUGAGAGUAUUGUGGUUGGUCUUAGAGACAUGCUUAAUGAGUUUAACCUAUUGGUACAGACCUUUCGGGAGGCGAAGGAUCGUGGUGAUGAACCCAUCGAGGAUAUCUCGAUUCGUAUUAUUGGACCUUCUGAGGGCGAUAGUCCACAAUUUAGUUUGCCUACAACCACUGGGCUUGUUGCUUUAGUUGUCAGUGGCGGCUUCACGUUAGAGGCAUCUUCUCGUGAUAUUGUUGUUUGCAGUCGUUCCGACGGUUUGCAGCAGAUAUCUUCUCUAAACACUGCAUUCAUGCCUCUGCAAUACCCGUUGCUUUUCCCUUAUGGAGAGAGAGGGUUCCAGGUGGAUGUUCCUCACUUGGGUGGUGAUGCUUCCACAAAUAGUCGGAAUAGGAUGACCAUGCAGGAUUACUAUCAUUUUAUGUGCCAUUACAAGGGUGAUCAGCCCAAUCCAUAUAUAUGUUAUGGUCUCCUCUCUUCUCAGUCGGUUGUUGAUGCACGCGCGUGCAUCGAUGAAAGUAGAUUGUGGUAUAUCAUAAGAAAUCAGGACAUGCUUAGAUCAGAGCACAUGCAGGGUAUUACUGAUGCGGUAGGUGAUGGGUGUGUUGAUGGUGAUGCUCUUGGGAAGAGGACCAUUGUACCUUCCAGUCACAUAGGCGGUCGUCGUUACUUCCAUGAAAAUUUUCAUGAUGGCCUUGCCGUUUGUCGGGUGCACAGUGCGCCUGACAUAUUUACCACUUUCACUUGCAAUGCCAAGUGGCCUGAGAUCACCAGUGCAUUGGAACCAGGUCAGACGCCUUCUGAUAGGGCGGAUAUUGUUGUUAGGGUCUAUCACAUGAAACUCACCGAGUACUUGGACGAGAUUAAGUCAGACCGGGCUUUUGGCCCCAUGUUGUAUACCGUUGAGUUCCAGAAGCGGGGACUGCCUCACGCGCAUAUACUUGUCUGGCGGAGAGGGGGUAACGGUGAGAUUGGUGUUGAAAAUAUUAAUUCAUCAAUAUCUGCUAAAAUACCUGAUGCAUUGCUUGAUCCUCUAGGAUAUGCUUUAGUUUCUGAGUUUAUGAUGCACGGUCCGUGUGGUGAAAUGAACGAUAAAUGUGUCUGCAUGAAAAAUGGUGUUUGUUCUAAAUAUUUCCCAAAAGAUUUUAGAGAUACCAUUGUCAUUGAUGAUAAUGGGUUUGCCUUAUAUCGACGUCGUGACGAUGGUCGAAGGGUCUAUAAAAAUGGCCAUUACCUUGACAAUAGGCAUGUUGUUCCUUAUAAUAUGGCGAUGCUCAAGAAAUUUCAGGGACAUAUAAAUGUAGAGUGGUGUAAUAAGACACAGGUGAUGAAAUAUCUCUUUAAGUAUGUCACCAAAGGUGCUGACUACUCUAAGGUCAUGUUAGAAAGGCCAAAAAAUGACUAA